AUGGCCCGCAUUGCGGCGUUCUUGCUGGUGGCCCUGCUCUCCUUAGCCGGGCAUCUCGCGCAGUCCGCGCCAUGCCGAUCAUGCCCGCCCACAAAGCCUUCCCAGCCUGCACCGUGUAAGCACAAGUCCUCACCAUCGUCCAUACCCUGCCCUUCACCUUCACAAACUCCCAUGCCCUCAACCACACCCACACUCACCCCGGUGACUCCGACGCCGGCACCGACCCCGACUGUCUUCAUCCCUCCACCUACAAACACUCCGGCACCCACGCCCAUACCAGCCUCUGUAACUCCAACAUCGGCACCGACCCCUAUGAUGCCUCCAAUACCAACCCCUAUAACUCCAACGCCGGUACCAGCUCCUCUCUCUCCAACACCAACACCGGUGGCCCCAACACCUACAACCGUGAUGCCGCCGACAUAGAUGCCUAUGGCACCAACGCCGGCACCGACCCCUGUAUCUCCAACGCCAAACCCGGUGGCCCCAAGACCUAUCCCUGUGAUGCCGCCAACACCGACGCCGGCAUCGACCCCUAUCUCUCCAACGCCAAGUCCGGUGGCGCCAACACCGACCCGUGUGGUUCCGACGCCAGCACCCACCCCUGUCUCUCCGUCGCCAACCCUGGUGACCCCAACACCGGCCCCUGUGAUGCCGCCAACACCAACAUCGGUGACUCCGAUGCCAGCACCGACCCCCGUUUCUCCAACCCCAACUCCGGUGGCCCCAACAGCGACUCCUAUGAUACCGCCAUCACCAACCCUUGUGACUCCGAUGCCAGCACCAACCCCUGUCUCUCCAACGCCAAUCCCGGUGGCCCCAACACCGACCCUCGUGAUGCCGCCAGCACCCACCCCUGUGACUCCGACGCCACCCCCAGCCCCGGCCCCAGCGCUGGCUACAUCGACCGGCAAGUGCCCCGUGGACACACUGAAGCUACUUGCGUGCGUGGACAUGCUCAAUGGGCUGUUGCACGCGGUGAUCGGCAGUAGCGCCAGGAAUACAUGCUGCCCGCUGCUGUCCGGCGUUGCCGACCUCGACGCUGCUCUCUGCCUUUGCACCACCAUCAAGGUCAAGGCCCUCAACAUCAACCUCAUGCUGCCCAUCGCCAUCGAGGUGCUCGUCAACCAGUGCGGCAAGAGAGUGCCGAAAGACUUCCGCUGCCCUAAUUAA
RNAcentral lists this ribosomal RNA (1170 nucleotides) under Triticum aestivum (bread wheat). RNAcentral's name for it is "partial small subunit ribosomal RNA". Lineage: Eukaryota; Viridiplantae; Streptophyta; Magnoliopsida; Poales; Poaceae. The record is from RNAcentral.